Molecule: ribosomal RNA, 253 nt
Filed under: uncultured bacterium
Lineage: Bacteria
Description: partial 16S ribosomal RNA
Rfam family: Bacterial small subunit ribosomal RNA
Source: RNAcentral
UACGUAGGGUCUGAGCGUUGUUCGGAGUUACUGGGCGUAAAGGGCGCGCAGGUGGCGGUGUUGGCCCGGCGUGAAAGCCCCCGGCUCAACCGGGGAGGGUCGUCGGGGACCGCACCGCUUGAGGGCGGUAGGGGCUGGUGGAAUGCCUGGUGUAGUGGUGAAAUGCGUAGAGAUCAGGCGGAACACCCGUAGCGAAGGCGGCCAGCUGGGCCGUCCCUGACACUGAGGCGCGAAGGCGUGGGGAGCGAACGGG